GUCUCUCACACUGCCAUGGACUUGUCACCAAAUUUAUGCUUUCCGCUUAUCGCCUUCAGAUCUGAGAAAAGACCCGUUAGAAAUAACACACAGGGCAACACAAUUUAUUUCAAUCAAGCAUUUCAUACUUUCCAUCACAACAAAGGGGAUAUAUAGAUUAUUAGUCUAGGGCAGCAUUUCCCAAUUGGGGUUCCGCUGUGAAUCGCUACAUCCAUGAUGGCC
Pelobates cultripes (western spadefoot toad) is the source of this 222-nucleotide non-coding RNA. NCBI's taxonomy places the organism in Eukaryota, Metazoa, Chordata, Amphibia, Anura, Pelobatidae. The record is from the annotation of a GenBank genome assembly.